Acipenser ruthenus (sterlet) is the source of this 592-nucleotide long non-coding RNA. RefSeq lists it as uncharacterized. The record is from RefSeq and is a predicted model, not a curated record. The transcript has 3 exons. NCBI's taxonomy places the organism in Eukaryota, Metazoa, Chordata, Actinopteri, Acipenseriformes, Acipenseridae.
CUCAGGCCCCGCCCCCUCACCUGAAUCGCAGGUACUGCGGACAAGAUGGCGGCGGGGGUGAGUUUGUGCUGUUGCUAAAUUAAAAAUUAUUUUUAAAUUAUUUAUUCCCUGCGGGAUAGCCUAGGAAGAAUCCAUAGCGUUUGUUUUCCAAAUCCAGUUGCGGGACUUCUAAAUGGCUAUUUCUCUGUUUGGGAGGAAAAGGGGAAACCGGCGUUUUAAAGAAUGAGAUACAUCUUGGUGUUGCCAACGCUGGUCCCGCGUUUGCUCAUACCUGCCGAGGCUCACUGACUUCAAGUUUAAAUGUGAAACGAUGAUGCUCCGGGUCCGCUCAUCUUGCUGUUCCCCGUUGACUGUAUCUGUUGCCAUGACGAGGAGGAGUAAUGUAAUGUAAUGUCUUGUUGAGUUUAACAAUAUUUGUAUCUUUUUAAAUUCCUGUUAAUUUGUUGUUUUUUUAUUCUAGUAAAUAUAACUUAAUUGCUACGGCAGUAUUCGUGCAAUUGUAAAAACAACCGGUUGUUGCUGACGUUUGGAAAUGUUACAUUUUCAGAAUGCAUCAACUGAUUCAAUAAAUGUGUGUUUUUUUUUUGUAGUA